GAUUAUUAAAGAUAUUCAAAAAUUUAAAGUAUGUAUAAUUGGUAUAUUUUAAGUGAAGGUAAAUAUUUAUUAUGUUAAUGACAAAAUCUUUGUGGUUGUGGAAAACCUUCAACUAGUUUUAAUGGGAUAAAUAUUUUUCUAUUGCACAAAGAAUUGUCUCUUAUCUAGAGAACAACUCUUAUGUUAUUUUUAAUUGAGUAAGAUUCUUAUUGAGAUUAUAAUUAAGGGGACUAAUACUAUAAAUAGAAUCAUUGUAAG
RNAcentral lists this unclassified non-coding RNA (258 nucleotides) under Hevea brasiliensis (rubber tree). Lineage: Eukaryota; Viridiplantae; Streptophyta; Magnoliopsida; Malpighiales; Euphorbiaceae. The record is from RNAcentral.